Molecule: long non-coding RNA, 199 nt
Filed under: Elaeis guineensis (African oil palm)
Lineage: Eukaryota; Viridiplantae; Streptophyta; Magnoliopsida; Arecales; Arecaceae
Description: long non-coding RNA (EGUI_LNC021830)
Source: RNAcentral
AUCAUUUUGAUGAUGAUAGUAAAUUAUGAUGUAAAAUUUUUUUUGUAGAUAAUAAAAGCUUCAUAGACACGUUAUUCUACUCAGCUUUCUCACAAAUGCGACUACUGACUAACCGACUCAGAAGAGUCUCUACGUCUUUAGUCGGUUUCAUUGGAGUUGCAGUCAAUGUGAAAGAAAAAAUUACUCUCCCUCUGACCAC